RNAcentral lists this ribosomal RNA (421 nucleotides) under uncultured bacterium. RNAcentral describes it as "bacterial SSU rRNA". It matches the Rfam family "Bacterial small subunit ribosomal RNA", at positions 355 to 775 of the family's 1533-position model. The record is from RNAcentral.
UAGGGAAUAUUGGUCAAUGGGCGCAAGCCUGAACCAGCCACGCCGCGUGCAGGAGGAAGGCCCUCUGGGUUGUAAACUGCUUUUGCAAGGGAAGAAACACGCAUUUUGGUGCGCUUGACGGUACCUUGCGAAUAAGGAUCGGCUAACUCCGUGCCAGCAGCCGCGGUAAUACGGAGGAUCCGAGCGUUGUCCGGAUUUAUUGGGUUUAAAGGGUGCGUAGGCGGGCCGUUGCGUCCGCGGUGAAAGGCCAGGGCUUAACCCUGGAGCUGCCGCGGAUACGGGCGGUCUUGAGUACAGAUGAGGUGGGCGGAAUGUGCCGUGUAGCGGUGAAAUGCUUAGAUACGGUACAGAACGCCGAUUGCGAAGGCAGCUCACCAAGGUGUAACUGACGCUGAGGCACGAAAGCGUGGGGAUCAAACAG